UUCCGGUUUGACACGCGAGUUACAAGAAGGUGGAGAGGUAUGUUUAUCAGAUGUUCUUGAAGGACGAGACACCUGAAACAGCCUUGACCUGCUCCUCAAGGUGUGCUGCAGUACUGGACGCGGCCGACAGGCUCAAAGUCCUCGUCGCCCUGAGGCCCAGUGGUUGCCACGUCUCGCCGCCGCUCAACUUGUUGUUUCAGAAGAUACAGCACUUCCGCUGCAGCUGUCGUCGUGUCCUCCAUAGAAGGACGUCUGUUGUCUGGCCGGGCAAGGGCAAGCUGUAAUCUGCGAACUCAUCAGCUUUCUGAAAAGCUAAAAGUGGAACGACCGUAAUCUUUCGUGUCUAUUACGAGGAUUAGUAAUAAAGGUGUGCUCGUGUGGAUAUAAAUCUGCAAUGUUUGUAACUUUCGGUUUUGUUAAAAAAGCAAAGAAAAUAUUGUUAAUAAGGCAGAAUUGGGACACUAUUUAGUUGACCGAUUUCCUGUCAAGUCUUGUGCCCAUUAGGGAAAUUUACAUUUUUUUUAUGAGUUAGAUGGCAAUAUCAAUUUAAUAUUGAUCGCUCAAAUUUUUACGUUCCUAAUUACUUGGUUAGUAAUUUAUUAAUCGUUUAAACCAUUAUUAACAUUUUAUCGUUUUUAUGUCCUCUAAAUGAUAAGUGACGGGAAAAAAGUAUAAAAUCUUCAGAAAAGUGGAAUUACAGUUACAGAUACUCGUAUGGUUCUACAUUGGUGUGUGUUUAAAAUGAAACACUUCUUUUCUGCUUAAAUCGUCAUUCCACACAAACACGCAGCCAUUAGCUCUCUAGAAUAUAUCGCAAAGAGAAGAGAUGAAAACAGGAGCGUCUUCACGUAAGUCAUUGGCGCCUUGAGCAGCUUAGUCAUGAGUUUAAGUGUAGAGUUUGUAGGAGGGAAAAGAAAUCAAUAAAUGUAUACUUGAA
Molecule: long non-coding RNA, 937 nt
Organism: Eriocheir sinensis (Chinese mitten crab)
Lineage: Eukaryota; Metazoa; Arthropoda; Malacostraca; Decapoda; Varunidae
Exons: 2
Source: RefSeq, a predicted model, not a curated record